This 253-nucleotide ribosomal RNA is filed under the name uncultured bacterium. RNAcentral's name for it is "partial 16S ribosomal RNA". It matches the Rfam family "Bacterial small subunit ribosomal RNA", at positions 524 to 776 of the family's 1533-position model. The record is from RNAcentral.
UACAGAGGGUGCGAGCGUUACUCGGAAUUACUGGGCGUAAAGCGUGCGUAGACGGUUACGUAAGUCGGGUGUGAAAGCCCCGGGCUCAACCUGGGAAUUGCAUUCGAGACUGCGUAGCUAGGGUGCGGAAGAGGGAAGCGGAAUUUCCGGUGUAGCGGUGAAAUGCGUAGAUAUCGGAAGGAACAUCAGUGGCGAAAGCGGCUUCCUGGACCAAUACUGACGCUCAUGUGCGAAAGCGUGGGGAGCAAACAGG